RNAcentral lists this ribosomal RNA (497 nucleotides) under uncultured bacterium. RNAcentral's name for it is "partial 16S ribosomal RNA". It matches the Rfam family "Bacterial small subunit ribosomal RNA", at positions 28 to 507 of the family's 1533-position model. The record is from RNAcentral.
GAUGAACGCUGGCGGCGUGCCUAAUACAUGCAAGUCGAGCGAACAGAUGAGGAGCUUGCUCCUCUGACGUUAGCGGCGGACGGGUGAGUAACACGUGGAUAACCUACCUAUAAGACUGGGAUAACUUCGGGAAACCGGAGCUAAUACCGGAUAAUAUAUUGAACCGCAUGGUUCAAUAGUGAAAGACGGUUUUGCUGUCACUUAUAGAUGGAUCCGCGCCGCAUUAGCUAGUUGGUAAGGUAACGGCUUACCAAGGCGACGAUGCGUAGCCGACCUGAGAGGGUGAUCGGCCACACUGGAACUGAGACACGGUCCUGACUCCUACGGGAGGCAGCAGUAGGGAAUCUUCCGCAAUGGGCGAAAGCUUGACGGAGCAACGCCGCGUGAGUGAUGAAGGUCUUCGGAUCGUAAAACUCUGUUAUUAGGGAAGAACAAAUGUGUAAGUAACUAUGCACGUCUUGACGGUACCUAAUCAGAAAGCCACGGCUAACUACGUG